RNAcentral lists this ribosomal RNA (428 nucleotides) under uncultured bacterium. Its description in RNAcentral is "bacterial SSU rRNA". It matches the Rfam family "Bacterial small subunit ribosomal RNA", at positions 355 to 776 of the family's 1533-position model. The record is from RNAcentral.
UGGGGAAUAUUGGACAAUGGGCGAAAGCCUGAUCCAGCAAUGCCGCGUGUGUGAUGAAGGCCUUCGGGUCGUAAAGCACUUUCAGUUGGGAAGAGGGCUUGUUAGUUAAUACCUGACAAGUUGACGUUACCAUCAAAAGAAGCACCGGCUAACUCUGUGCCAGCAGCCGCGGUAAGACAGAGGGUGCGAGCGUUAAUCGGAAUUACUGGGCGUAAAGGGCACGUAGGUUGGUAUUUAAGUCAGAUGUGAAAGCCUCGAGCUCAACUUGAGAACUGCAUUUGAUACUGGAUACCUAGAGUUUGGUAGAGGGAAGUGGAAUUUCCGAUGUAGCGGUGAUAUGCAUAGAUAUCGGAAGGAACACCAGUGGCGAAGGCGGCUUCCUGGACCAAUACUGACACUGAGGUGCGAAAGCGUGGGUAGCAAACAGG